RNAcentral lists this ribosomal RNA (459 nucleotides) under uncultured bacterium. RNAcentral describes it as "partial 16S ribosomal RNA". It matches the Rfam family "Bacterial small subunit ribosomal RNA", at positions 338 to 795 of the family's 1533-position model. The record is from RNAcentral.
CCUACGGGUGGCAGCAGUGAGGAAUAUUGGUCAAUGGACGGGAGCCUGAACCAGCCAAGUCGCGUGAAGGAAGAAGGUCCUUUGUAUUGUAAACUUCUUUUGUCGGGGAACAAAGUCUGCGACGCGUCUCCUGCUGUGUGUACCCUAAGAAAAAGCAUCGGCUAACUCCGUGCCAGCAGCCGCGGUAAUACGGAGGAUCCGAGCGUUAUCCGGUUUUAUUGGGUUUAAGGGGUGCGCAGGCGGGGGGUCAAGUCAGCGGUAAAAUGUGGGGGCUAAACCCGGGCUGGCCGUUGAAACUGGUUGUCUAGAGUACGAGAGAGGUGGGCGGAAUUCGUGGUGUAGCGGUGAAAUGCUUAGAUAUCACGAAGAACUCCGAUUGCGAAGGCAGCACACCGGAUCGAGACUGACGCUGAGGCACGAAAGCGUGGGGAUCGAACAGGAUUAGAUACCCGAGUAGUC